UGGGUGGAAAAGUAGGAUUUUAAUUUUUUAAAUUUACACAGUGGGUGAGAAAAUAGGACAUGUGGGUGGAAAUAGCAGCACUCUAUAUGUAUAACAAAUGUUAUAUAUAUACAGAGUGAGCAAAUUGUUGACACAAAGACGUUUCUAGUUGUGUUGGUUUGUAGGGCCUCAACUUCUAUUUAGGACUCGACUUCAAAACCUGCUUGUGUUAAAGGCUUGUCCGAUGUCAACACCAACAUUCAAUAUCCC
RNAcentral lists this long non-coding RNA (249 nucleotides) under Prunus persica (peach). Its description in RNAcentral is "long non-coding RNA (PPER_LNC000308)". Lineage: Eukaryota; Viridiplantae; Streptophyta; Magnoliopsida; Rosales; Rosaceae. The record is from RNAcentral.